Molecule: ribosomal RNA, 306 nt
Filed under: Drosophila waddingtoni
Lineage: Eukaryota; Metazoa; Arthropoda; Insecta; Diptera; Drosophilidae
Description: partial 12S ribosomal RNA
Source: RNAcentral
AAAAUUUGUUAUUAAUUUGAUUUAUAUGUAAAUUUUUGUAUGAAUUUGUAUUAAUUUUAAAAAUUAAUAUAAUAAUUAUAUUCGCAGUAAUUAAUUUUAUUAAUUAAAGAAAUUUAGAAAUAGCAAUAUUAAAAAGUAUAGAUUAAAUUGGUGCCAGCAGUCGCGGUUAUACCAAUUAUACAAAUAAAUUUUUUUAGUAAAAGUUAAAUUGAAAUUUAUAUUAAAUAAAAUUAAAUUUAUUAAGUGAAAUUUUAAAUUUAAAUUUUUUAUAAAUUAAAUUAAUUGAAGCUUAAAAAUUUUAAUAAA